This 322-nucleotide ribosomal RNA is filed under the name uncultured Pseudomonas sp. Its description in RNAcentral is "bacterial SSU rRNA". It matches the Rfam family "Bacterial small subunit ribosomal RNA", at positions 1061 to 1382 of the family's 1533-position model. Lineage: Bacteria; Pseudomonadati; Pseudomonadota; Gammaproteobacteria; Pseudomonadales; Pseudomonadaceae. The record is from RNAcentral.
CGUGUCGUGAGAUGUUGGGUUAAGUCCGUAACGAGCGCAACCCUUGUCCUUAGUUACCAGCACGUUAUGGUGGGCACUCUAAGGAGACUGCCGGUGACAAACCCGGAGGAAGGUGGGGAUGACGUCAAGUCAUCAUGGCCCUUACGGCCUGGGCUACACACGUGCUACAAUGGUCGGUACAAAGGGUUGCCAAGCCGCGAGGUGGAGCUAAUCCCAUAAAACCGAUCGUAGUCCGGAUCGCAGUCUGCAACUCGACUGCGUGAAGUCGGAAUCGCUAGUAAUCGUGAAUCGGAAUGUCACGGUGAAUACGUUCCCGGGCCUU